RNAcentral lists this ribosomal RNA (245 nucleotides) under uncultured bacterium. Its description in RNAcentral is "partial 16S ribosomal RNA". It matches the Rfam family "Bacterial small subunit ribosomal RNA", at positions 524 to 768 of the family's 1533-position model. The record is from RNAcentral.
UACAGAGGUGCCAAGCGUUGUUCGGAUUUACUGGGCGUAAAGGGUGCGUAGGCGGCCAUACAAGUCGGAUGUGAAAGCCCGGAGCUUAACUCCGGAACGGCAUCCGAAACUGUAUGGCUGGAGAUCUGGAGAGGUGAUUGGAAUUCUCGGUGUAGCAGUGAAAUGCGUAGAUAUCGAGAGGAACACCAGAGGCGAAAGCGGGUCACUAGACAGAUUCUGACGCUGAGGCACGAAAGCCAGGGGAG